GAGUUUGAUCGUGGCUCAGAUUGAACGCUGGCGGCAGGCCUAACACAUGCAAGUCGAGCGGUAGAGAGAAGCUUGCUUCUCUUGAGAGCGGCGGACGGGUGAGUAAUGCCUAGGAAUCUGCCUGGUAGUGGGGGAUAACGCUCGGAAACGGACGCUAAUACCGCAUACGUCCUACGGGAGAAAGCAGGGGACCUUCGGGCCUUGCGCUAUCAGAUGAGCCUAGGUCGGAUUAGCUAGUUGGUGAGGUAAUGGCUCACCAAGGCGACGAUCCGUAACUGGUCUGAGAGGAUGAUCAGUCACACUGGAACUGAGACACGGUCCAGACUCCUACGGGAGGCAGCAGUGGGGAAUAUUGGACAAUGGGCGAAAGCCUGAUCCAGCCAUGCCGCGUGUGUGGAGAAGGUCUUCGGAUUGUAAAGCACUUUAAGUUGGGAGGAAGGGCAGUAAAUUAAUAACUUUUGCUGUUUUGACGUUACCGACAGAAUAAGCACGGCUAACUCUGUGCCAGCCGCCG
This 514-nucleotide ribosomal RNA is filed under the name uncultured bacterium. Its description in RNAcentral is "bacterial SSU rRNA". It matches the Rfam family "Bacterial small subunit ribosomal RNA", at positions 9 to 517 of the family's 1533-position model. The record is from RNAcentral.